ACUCAGUCCGCGUUUUCCCGGUCCAGUCCAGUCCAGUCCGUCUUUUACAACAUGCCGUCUGUCUGUCUGUCUGUCUGUCUGUCUGUCUGUCUGUCUGUCUGUCUGUCUGUCUGUCUGUCUGUCUGUCUUUCUGUCUGUCUGUCUGUCUGUCUUUCUGUCUGUCUGUCUGUCUGUCUGUCUGUCUGUCUGUCUGUCUGUCUGUCUGUCUGUCUGUCUGUCUGUCUGUCUGUCUGUCUGUCUGUCUGUUGUCAAAUACAAUUGACCCAUUGCAUUUAGGCGUAAUAAAUAACUAUUAUUGUAAAUUUUAACUUUACCCUAUAAUAUUGUAAACCAUAGACGUAUUUCAAUCUCUAUAUUGGUUGCAUGCAGAGUCUAUUUAAAAAAAAAUUCAAUAUAUGACUGUACGUAAUUCAGGCUGAAAUUUAAAUCAUACUAGUAGCGCUAGCUCUUCAUUCGAGCCGGACAUUACUGUAUUUUUUAUAUAAACUAUCUAGUUUUAAUUUUUUUGUACAAGUGCUAUCACCCCCAAAACAUUGCGUAUCUACUAUAGUAUGCCAUACAACAGUUAACAGAGACUCACUUUUCAAUAUACACUUAAACUAACAGAUACUGUACACAUGCAUUAAUCCUAACCCUAAUCAUGGGUUAAAAACCUUUCGAAUUAUUGUAACGUCUUCUUGGAUGUUAACUUGAAAUACGGUUACGAUUGUGUCCGUGAUUCAUUGCAUUCAUGGGAUUUUCCCAACCUCGUCCCCAGGGCCUAUUGAGGAGGGAGGCGAAGCAGCAAAGGCCCUGGUAAAGGCUGGUCACGUGAUGCUUCAAAUUUUGAAUAUUUCAGAAUAUUUAACUUUUCAAACCGGGGGUGCGGGCCGCUUUGAUUUUAUCAAACAUGGCCGUGCAAAGGGGCGAUAGAAGCUUUUGCGACUGAAACCAGAGACUGAAACUAUGAUGAUAAACUUUUCAACUGACAGUGGAAAUAAAUAUAUAGUUUGCGAUGUUCUUCAAAAAAAUAUGGAAUAUAAUCAACAGCAAUACUUGUGGAAGAUCAAGAUUCAAAGAGAAGAGUCUAAACACGGACUGAUCACAACAGUAAAUAUUUCUUUUCAGCUUGGAAAUGGAAGCGUGUUUUAUAAUAUUUGUCGUUUCGUUUGGGAGUCAAUAACAUACUAUCACUACUAGUCAUAGUUAAUAUAGAAGACCAGUGAAGAAUUUGAUUUGGGACUUUGAUGUACCUUUAUGAAAAGAUUACUACUGAAUACAAAUGUGCAUGUAAAAUGUGAUUAGAACGUUUUAAUACGAACAGUUGCAUUGUCAGUGACUCAAUAUAUUUUAAUGUGGGACAAACAUUAAAAAACAUUAAAGUACUGUGCCAAGUGACAAAAUUCCAUGCCGACCAUGGGUUACGUAUGUAUGCAUUUUUAUUAAACGUUUAUACCAAUAUACACUAUUUUAUACCUUUGUGUGUGAAUUUUGUGUGUUGAUUUUAUGAUAUUUGAUAACCAUGAAUAUCAAUAAUAUAAUAUGUUAAGAGCAAGUUUACAGUAUAUUGUAUAAUACAAAAGCAGUAUCACUGAUAUUAUCACAAGACUCAAGUACUGUACAUGGUCUAAUAGAUGUUUCUUAGUCAGCAACUAUGCUCUUUGACAUUG
Paramuricea clavata is the source of this 1649-nucleotide non-coding RNA. The record is from the annotation of a GenBank genome assembly. Lineage: Eukaryota; Metazoa; Cnidaria; Anthozoa; Malacalcyonacea; Plexauridae.